This is an RNA transcript of Phoenix dactylifera (date palm), 2094 nucleotides long. It is a transcript of the gene named putative serine/threonine-protein kinase PBL7, with no coding region annotated. Lineage: Eukaryota; Viridiplantae; Streptophyta; Magnoliopsida; Arecales; Arecaceae. The record is from RefSeq and is a predicted model, not a curated record.
UUCCCGUAAUUUUUCUUUUCUAAAUUUGGCCUGUUUACUUGAGUCCUUCCUCCUCAUUUCCUUCAUCGCUCUCCGACUCUCACUUCUUAAGAGAGCUAAAGAGGGAGACCGGAAGAAGGACGCGAGAACGAUCGGUGGUUGGGGGAAAUGGGGUGCUUUCCGUGCGCCGGAGAGCCGAGCAAGAAGGGCAAGGAGAAGGAUCAGAUCUCGCCGAUCUCAGCAGAUAAAAAAUCCAAUUCCACGUCAGAUGUAAAGAAACAGAGUUCACUGGAUGCAAAGGAGGAGGCCUCAAAUAAUGGAUCUGAACAUAUUGCUGCUCAGACAUUUACAUUUCGUGAACUGGCUGCGGCAACCAAGAAUUUCAGAGUUGAUUGCCUUUUAGGAGAGGGAGGGUUUGGCCGAGUCUAUAAGGGAAGGUUGGAUAGUAUUAACCAGGUUGUGGCUAUAAAGCAGCUUGACCGUAAUGGCUUGCAAGGUAAUCGAGAAUUCCUUGUUGAAGUUCUGAUGUUGAGUCUACUUCACCACCCUAACCUCGUUAACCUAAUCGGAUACUGUGCUGAUGGAGAUCAAAGGCUUUUAGUUUAUGAGUACAUGCCAUUAGGAUCCUUGGAAGAUCAUCUUCAUGACCCUUCUCCAGACAAGAAGCGGCUUGACUGGAACACAAGAAUGAAAAUAGCUGCUGGUGCAGCUAAAGGAUUAGAGUAUUUGCAUGAUAAGGCCAAUCCUCCUGUUAUAUACCGCGAUCUGAAAUGCUCUAACAUUUUGCUUGGAGAGGGAUAUCAUCCCAAGUUAUCUGAUUUUGGCUUGGCAAAGCUUGGCCCAGUCGGCGAUAAAACUCAUGUUUCCACUAGGGUAAUGGGUACUUAUGGAUAUUGUGCACCUGAAUAUGCAAUGACUGGACAACUGACACUAAAAUCAGAUGUCUAUAGCUUUGGGGUCGUUCUUCUGGAGCUUAUUACUGGAAGAAGGGCUAUUGACAAUUCUAGAGCUGCAGGGGAGCACAAUCUCGUUGCAUGGGCACGACCCCUUUUCAAGGACAGAAGGAAAUUUCCACAGAUGGCUGACCCAAUGCUUCAGGGCCAGUAUCCUGUGAGAGGCUUAUACCAGGCACUUGCUGUUGCUGCAAUGUGUGUUCAGGAGCAGCCCACCAUGAGGCCUUUAAUAGCUGAUGUGGUUACUGCUAUCACUUACCUUGCUUCCCAAACUUACAACCCCGAAGCCCAAUCAAAUCAAAAUACUUCUCGUUUGACGGCACCAGGUACCCCACCUCGAACAAGAAGGGACAGCGAAAAGAAACCAAGUGGUGGAUCUGAAAGAGACCAGUUGAGAGGACUAAAAUGAAAUCAUCCAUUGCUCGUCAGAGCAAAGUGCUUCAAUUCUACCUGCUUUGCUACCAUCUCCUGGUGCCAGAACAGUGAAAAUUUUUGCCACGCGUUUAUUCUCUUUUGGCUGUCUAUUUGGUGUCUGGUCAUCAAAUUUUGUAUCAUCAGAAAACAGGAAUCAAGACAUGAUAUAUGUGGAAUGUCAUUUGAAAGCAAGUAUUCUAAGACUGGGACUUCAGUUUGAGGCUAUGAUUAGAAGUGGAAUCCUCACAAUAUUAGAAGAAAGAUGGUAAAAGGCCCGAUUCUAGUACUCAUUUUUCCGCUGCAGUUCAGAUGUUAUGCGUCAUGAUGGUAUUGAUGCUCUACUUCUCGCAAAAAAGAUGGUGUUGGUGCUCUAAACUUUAAACCACGACCCAUUGUUCAGCAUGGCGUGCCAGCGGAAAAGGGACGAGUUUAGGUUGUAGAGAUGAGAAUGUCAGUGUAAACGUGACCCAGGUGAACUUGCCCCUGAUAAACCUGCCAGGUCUUGGCAGCCCUGCAAGUAGUGGGCUUGAUAAAUGGUGAUAUGUUUACUAUCAUUCGAUAUUCCUUCUGCGAAUGAUGAUGUUGAGGCAUGAACACUCUGUGAUCUCUCUUUACUGAUGUCAUGUGGAUUCUAUGACGGAAUCCCGGCCAAUUGAUCUGCUGAAUCUACUGUCGAUAUUGUAUGCCAUGUGGGUAUUCUUCAUCAUAUGAAUUGUUCAGGACUAGUGAAAUAUAAGCCUCCAUUUUU